GAUGAACGCUAGCUACAGGCUUAACACAUGCAAGUCGAGGGGCAGCAUGAACUUAGCUUGCUAAGUUUGAUGGCGACCGGCGCACGGGUGAGUAACACGUAUCCAACCUGCCGAUGACUCGGGGAUAGCCUUUCGAAAGAAAGAUUAAUACCCGAUGGCAUAGUUCUUCCGCAUGGUAGAACUAUUAAAGAAUUUCGGUCAUCGAUGGGGAUGCGUUCCAUUAGGUUGUUGGCGGGGUAACGGCCCACCAAGCCUUCGAUGGAUAGGGGUUCUGAGAGGAAGGUCCCCCAGAUUGGAACUGAGACACGGUCCAAACUCCUACGGGAGGCAGCAGUGAGGAAUAUUGGUCAAUGGACGAGAGUCUGAACCAGCCAAGUAGCGUGAAGGAGGACUGCCCUAUGGGUUGUAAACUUCUUUUAUACGGGAAUAAAGUGAGGCACGUGUGCCUUUUUGUAUGUACCGUAUGAAUAAGGAUCGGCUAACUCCGUG
This 489-nucleotide ribosomal RNA is filed under the name uncultured bacterium. RNAcentral describes it as "partial 16S ribosomal RNA". It matches the Rfam family "Bacterial small subunit ribosomal RNA", at positions 28 to 507 of the family's 1533-position model. The record is from RNAcentral.